Molecule: ribosomal RNA, 253 nt
Filed under: uncultured bacterium
Lineage: Bacteria
Description: partial 16S ribosomal RNA
Rfam family: Bacterial small subunit ribosomal RNA
Source: RNAcentral
UACGUAGGGGGCGAGCGUUGUCCGGAUUUACUGGGCGUAAAGGGCGCGCAGGCGGUCUGGUAAGUUUGGAGUGACAGUGUUCGGCUUAACUGAGCAAGGCCUUCGAAAACUGCUGGACUUGAGCACUCAAGAGGGACAUAGAAUUCCGGGUGGAGUGGUGAAAUGCGUAGAUAUCCGGAGGAAUACCAAAGGCGAAGGCAGUGUCCUGGGGAGUGUCUGACGCUCAGGCGCGAAAGCUAGGGGAGCGAACAGG